Caenorhabditis elegans is the source of this 142-nucleotide non-coding RNA. The record is from Ensembl. NCBI's taxonomy places the organism in Eukaryota, Metazoa, Nematoda, Chromadorea, Rhabditida, Rhabditidae.
GUGUACAUCUCCGAACCUAACCUAAUACGUCUGAAAGGAAGAAAAGAGAAGUGAAAAAGUAUGUAAAGUACAUCUAUAUGUAUGUAUAUUCACACUUUUUUCUCGUAUUUUUCGAUCCAGUAUAUAUCUUUCUUCUUAUUUU